CCCACCUAUCUUCCCUAACCCCUCUCACAACUCCUCUUCUCACACGCUAGAUCUCCAUCCAACUCCUCUCAAGCCCUCUCCUUCCAACCCCUCUCCGGCAAACCCCUCUCCCCGAACCUCUCCUCCGAACUCCUCUCCGUCAAGACCGCGGGCAAAAUUUCUUCACCUUAUUCCUUCACCUCUCCUCCGAACCCAUCUCUUCGCCUCCGUCGACUCAUUCACGCUUCCUUCACACUACUCUUCUUAGAGAAAUCGCCUUUAUAGGGGCGGCUAACCACUUGGGAGCUUGGUGGCGGUGAUCUGCGAAGCAAAUUGGAAGGUUGAGGUUGCGAGAUGGACCGCCGCAGUUGGAUCUGGACAUGAAAGUCAUCGGAAAAGGGCAGCAGUGAGACCUAGAGCUCGGAUUCGGUAUCUCAGAGAGGUACUCUGGUGAACAGACCAAGCAUGCAUCAAAGAAACGAUCUUUUUUAGGAGAAAAAAGAAAGAGACGAAGCUCAAUUUAUCCAGACAAGAAGAUUGAGUUACAAUUGAUUCCAGAUAUGUUUAUGUUGGAAAUCUUCCUUCAUCUAUCUCGACUUCAGACCUUGAGCAAGUCUUUAAGAAUUUUGGUAAAUUGAGAUCAGAUGGUGUUUUUAUUAGAAGCCGGAAGGAGUCUGAUGUUUUUUAUGCUUUCAUUGAAUAUCAAGAUGCCAUUGGUGUACAAAAUGCACUUAAGGCAUCUCCAAUACAGUUAAAUGGGAGAUUGAUUCAUGUUGAGGGGAGAAGACCUAAUAGCGGUGUAUCACGAGGAAAUACACAGUGGUAGGUGUUUUGUCCCAGUCUCAAGCCGACAAUCUUUUUUAUCAUAUCUAGUAGAAGUAAGCAUGCAGAUCGUUGUCUUCGAGGCCGACUAGCUAUUUUGUGCUUUUUUAUUUUAAAUUCGAAUGCCACUAUCUACUUUGAAAUAGAACUAUUUAGUCUUUGUGUAUAGUUAA
Molecule: long non-coding RNA, 974 nt
Organism: Zingiber officinale
Lineage: Eukaryota; Viridiplantae; Streptophyta; Magnoliopsida; Zingiberales; Zingiberaceae
Exons: 7
Source: RefSeq, a predicted model, not a curated record